This 333-nucleotide long non-coding RNA is filed under the name Medicago truncatula (barrel medic). RNAcentral describes it as "long non-coding RNA (MTRU_LNC005423)". The record is from RNAcentral. Lineage: Eukaryota; Viridiplantae; Streptophyta; Magnoliopsida; Fabales; Fabaceae.
ACCUUUUCUCUCUCCCGUUACCCAUUCUCCCUUCUCUCCAAAGUGUUUUGUGCUCAUUUCCAUUCCCCAUUGCAUUUUUUUUUUCCAUUUUUGUCACCAUCAUUCCUUUAAUUCUCAUCAAAUGUUCUACAUUUAGUGUUAAGUUCAUGGUUGAGUGAGAAGUGGAAAUACUAAGUCAUGGAGGGUUUGAUUUUUGGUGUUCCUUGAGAUUCGGUGGAAAUCGCUCCGGUGCCCGUUCCGGAAGGCAUUGCUAGGAACGGACUUGAAGCUUCAUAGUUGUGAGUAGCUAAAUUACCUUGUGGCAUGUUUUUAUAAGUUAAAAUGUUGUUUUAU